Molecule: long non-coding RNA, 5828 nt
Filed under: Brassica napus (rape)
Lineage: Eukaryota; Viridiplantae; Streptophyta; Magnoliopsida; Brassicales; Brassicaceae
Description: long non-coding RNA (BNAP_LNC008362)
Source: RNAcentral
UUUACCCAGUUGGAAGCAUCUCUCUUUAACCGUGUGCUUCUCCUCAAUGGAACUACUACAUUCUCUUCCACGGCUUCUUCUGGCAUCUGGCUUUCUUCACUAGCUUCCUGACCUCCAUGUUGAUCACUUCCCCUUGAGUCAUCUUCACUUUGAACAUGAGAGUCUGCGCUUUGUUGUUGAUUUUCGGCUUCACUUGUUCCUUGAACUUCAGUAUCAGCAGAUUCACUUCCCCCUUCAUGUUCUAAGUGAGAUGAUUCUUCAACUCUAACAGGUGGUGUUGCUUGGCGUUUGUGCUGAUCUGAUGACACUCCAAUACCAAGUCCUUGCAAAAUGUUUCUCAAGCUUGCAGCCCUGUCUGAUGGUUGGGAUAGAUCUUCAAGUUCUUCCCAAUUCUUCCCAUCAUAAUAUCCCUUUUCUUCAAAGAACUUCACCUCCCUUGAUACCAAUACUCUUCUGGUAUUUGGAUCAAAGCAUUUGUAUCCCUUUUGGGACGUAGAGUAUCCAAUCAUCAUAGCCUUGGUACUCUUCCCUUCUAGCUUGUUCCGCAUUUCCCCGGGUACUAGUACAUAGCACACACACCCAAAGAUCCGCAAGUGUUCCAGCACUGGCUUACUCUUGUUGAGAACCUCAAAGGGGGACUGAUCAUUGAGAAUCUUGGUUGGUGUCCUGUUGAUAAGGUAGCUUGCGGUCAUCACUGCAUCACUCCAAUGCCUCUUAGGUACACUUGUAUAGAACAUCAUUGAUCUCGCCACCUCCAUGAGGUGUCUAUUCUUCCUUUCAGCCACUCCAUUUUGCUGGGGUGUAUAAGGACAGCUCGUCUGAUGAAGUAUUCCAUGGCUAGCUAGAUGUUCUUUGAAUGCAUGACUUGUAUACUCCCCACCAUUAUCUGACCUGAAAAUCUUAAUCUUGGCAUUAUAGUGGUUAGUAACAUAGUUUUGAAAGUUUUUAAAUGCAUCAAGAACUCUAUCCUUUGUUUUAAUGAGUGUUAACCAGGUGUAUUUAGAUUUUUCAUCAAUGAAGGUGACAUAAUACUUGUAAUUAUCCCUAGAUAAACAAGGUGCAGUCCAAACAUCAGAGUGGAUUAAGUCAAAACACUUCUCAUAAACUGUAACUGAUCUUUGAAACACACUCUUACAAUGUUUUCCCAAAAUACAAGCUUCACAAUCAUUAUUUUUAAACAUGACACCUGGUAACAUUAUGCUUAAGGCCCUAACAUGUGGAUGUCCUAGCCUAGCAUGCCACAAAGCAUCCUUACUUAAAGAAACCGAGCUAAACGAAAAACAAGAACUAGAGAUAGGAGAGAGAUCUUCAAGCAUGUAAAGGUCUCCCUUAGUUGCUCCUUGGCCAAUCAACUUACUGCUCUUAAUAUCCUGAAACUUCACAUCAUUAGGACUAAAAAUAACAUUGCAAUCAAGAUCAGUAGUGCAUCUCUUGACAGAUAACAAGUUUGAAGUAAAUUCAGGCAUGUAGAAUGCAUUAGACUCUUUAUUAAACAGUUUCAACCUACCAAUGCCUCUAAUAGGAAUUCUAUCACCAUUAGCAAUCAUGACAUGACCUUGGGUAGGUUCUAUAUCCGUAAUCAACCUGUUAUCACUAAUCAUGUGAUGAGAUGCACCAGAAUCAAUGAUCAAAGGUUUAUGUAUAUCCUUAGCUAGAUGACUUCUAGGAUGAUCAGUGUUAUUUUUUAAGUUCUCAAGUACUCCUAAGAGUUUCUUAGCAAUGCUAUGUUCAGUUUUACCUCUCAAGGGAUUCUCUAGUAUGUCUAGCAACCUAUCAGUUCUUCUAGACAUAGUAUGAGCAGCAAAAGAAUAACCAAGAGUAUUGGGUCUUAGUGUGUUACCAGACUCUUUAAGAGCUUUGAUGAGUGCAUCUAUGUCUGACUUCCUGAUCACCUCAUGCUCUAGGUUCUUUCCUCCUGAGUGAUGAGAAGAGAGAGCUCGCCCUUCACUCUCCUUCACUUGUGAGGAUGUACCAGCCCCGGAUGCACUGCCACUGCUUGUCUCGGUGGACAUGUGAGCUCUGGCUUCUCUCUCCUUGUUGAAUUUGCUUGGCUUGAGGUGAGGGUGAAGUAUCCAGCAUUGGCUCUUCUUAUGGCCUGGCUUCUUGCAAUGAUCACAAUUCCCUUCAAAGCGGUCACCAUACUUCCUUCCAUCAUUCUUGUAACCCGCCUUGUUUGCUUGCACAUCCUCAGCCUGAUGAGCCAUUGGUAGCUCCCCCUUUCCUCCAAACAAGCCUAGAGAGCCUUCCUCCUUCUGCAGUUGAGAGCACACCUCCUCCAUUGUUGGUAGGCUUGGCGAUCUCAGCAUGUGCUUUAUGACAUCCUGGUAGCACACGUCUAAGGUCAUCAGCAACCCAAACACUUGAUCCUGCUCUCUCUCCUCUCCAUGAUGAUCUCUUGAUCACUGGUGCUUGGGCGCAGGUUAUCCAGCUCAGACCAAAGAGCUCUGAACUUCCCAAUGUGUGUAGUAAGCUCCACACCACCUUGCAUCAAGGAGGUGAUGGCUUUCUUCAACUCAAACACACGGUUAAGGUUUGAGACAUCUCCAAAUGUCUUCUGGAGCGUCUCCCACAGGUGCUUAGGUGUCUCACAGAAGAUGUAGGCUUCAAGCAGAGGGACUUCAAUCGAACUGUGUAGCACGGACAGCACCAUCAGAUCUUCUUGAACCCAUUUCUUCUUCACCUCAGCUUCAGUGAGUACUUUUCCACCCUCAGCUUCCUCAUUCCCUUUGGCCACUGGCUCUGGACCAUCAUCCGUGAUGUGGUUCCACAACCCUAGCCUCCCAACAGCAGUCUUCACUAGCCGAGACCACAACAAGUAGUUUCCUACACCUUUUAAGGCAACCGGAACCGUAACAAGCUUACUGUAGUUUCCUUCCAUCUUCUCUUUGCCUCUCGUUACUUCUAGUCUUCAAUCUUGUACUUCAGUUGAGUUUCUACCGCACCAGAUCUUCAAGAACACACGGGACCAAAGAACCAAGGGUAAGACACUUCAACACACUAACAAGACUUCCCGGAAGUAUCAAGAACAAACGCAAGAACACAAAGAAGGAAUGAGUAAGAAUCACACAAGGGAACUAAGAUCUCUCAAUACCAAAGCCAACCUGGCUCUGAUACCAUGAGAUUUUAGAGAUUUAAGAAGGUAUUGAGAGAUUAAGAAAGAUUAAAGAGAAGUUUAGUGAAAGAUUUAAACAAGUAUCAUGGUUUGAGAGUGAUUAAGAGACUUUGAGAUUUAAACUAGAGAGAGAGUAGAGAAAGAGUGAUUCAAUCUCGUUAAUUAUUAAUCUGAUGAGGUUACAACUUAUAUAGUAUGAGAGCUUAGGGUUUACAAGGUUUAAAGAUAAGCUAAAGCAUGUGGAGUCAACCAGGAGAGGAGCGCAUAUCAUAAAGCAUCCAAUGAGCUUCUUCCCGCGUGUGAAGCAUCUUGGAUCUUUGACUAGGAUGCUGACAGUCUGUCACAGCCUGGCACAGCCUGUCAGAUGCGCUCCUCAAGCUCUCUCAACGGUCUGAUCCAAGUAGAGCAUGGUAGAAGGUAAGAAUGAUCCGUUUACCCUCCUCUUGGUUAAACGGUCAUGGUAACUUCUUCUUUACCUUGUACGGCCACCUUGUACGGCCUGUCCGUACACUCACAUCCCUAACUUCAUCCUCAAGUCUCUAACCUUCUCUAGCUUCAUAUCACAUAGUUGCAUCACCUCAUUUCAACACUCCCCCUCAAGCUUAACCAUGUGGAACAAGUUAAGCUUGGAAGGACCAUGAGAUCUUCCUCAUUAAAAACCUUACCAAAGAAAACCCAUUUGGGACAAAACUUUGAUAAGGGAAAAAGAGUAAAGACCUCAUGAUCAGGGGACUAUUCUAUGGGUGUAAGAUCAAUGAGUCCUAACCUGAUGUGUAUGGACUCCAUUGUCUUUUGUCUUGCUGCCUUGGUGAAUACAUCCGCUAACUGAUCCUCACUCCUUGUAUAGCAUGGCAAAAUUACUCCCAAAACGAUCAUCUGCCUCACCUUGUGGCAGUCUACUUCAAUGUGCUUGGUUCUCUCAUGGAACACUGAGUUGGAUGCAAUGUGUAUAGCUGCUUGGUUGUCGCAAUGCAUAGUCAUUGGUGUAGCUUGCUCUAUCUCCAAGUGUUUCAAGAUCCCUUUGAUCCACACCAACUCAUUGGUUAGCUUCAGCAUUGCCCUAUACUCAGCUUCAGCACUUGAACAAGAUACUACCUUCUGCUUCUUGCUCUUCCAUGUCACAAGAUUACCUCCAAUGAAUGUACAAUAGCCGGUAGUUGAUCUUCUGUCAGCUCUAUCUCCUGCCCAAUCCGCAUCACAAUAGCCCACCACUUCAGUACUCUUGUUGCAUCCCAUCCAAACUCCAAGGCCUGAUGUUCCGUUCAGAUACAAGAGGAGUCUCUCCACCAUUCGCCAGUGAUGCUCCUUUGGGACUUGCAUAUGCUGGCUCACUUGAUUCACAGCAAAGCAUAUAUCCGGACGUGUGAUGGUAAGGUAGAUGAGCUUCCCUACUAGCUUCCUGUAUAGCUUUGGAUCAUGAAAGACCUUGCUAUCUUCAAUCUCCCCCUCACGUGGAACCUUGUAUCCAUCUUCAAGAGGCAUCCUUGCUGUCUUAUCUCCUUGUAUACCUGCAUCUUUCAAAAGAUCAAGUGUAUACUUCCUUUGGGAAAUGAACAAUCCUUCCUUAGAUCUACACAACUCAAUUCCAAGGAAGUAUUUCAUUUCUCCUAAGUCUUUAAUUUCAAAUACAGAUUUUAAAAACUCCUUGGUGGCUUUUAUCCCAGCCUUAUCAUUACCUGUUAUAAUGAUAUCAUCAACAUACACAAGUAGACAAAUGAUACCUGAGGGUGAAGUAAGUGUGAAGAGAGUAUGAUCCAAUUCUGAUUUCUUGAAUCCACGCCCAUUUAAAGUAGUGCUCAGCUUGUUGUACCAUGCUCUAGGAGAUUGUUUCAACCCAUAGAUAGCCUUCUUGAGUCUCAACACAUUUCCAGGUUUCACAAGAUGCCCUAGGCCUGGUGGUGGAUGCAUAUACACUUCAUCUUCUAGUUCUCCUUGAAGAAAGGCAUUCUUUACAUCCAUCUGCCAAAGCUCCCACUCAAGAUUCACAGCCAGAGAUAAUACAAUUCUUAUUGUAUGGAGCUUAGCAACAGGAGCAAAGGUGUCAAUGUAGUCUUCUCCAUAUGUUUGAGUGUAUCCUCUAGCCACCAGUCUUGUCUUCUUUCUCUCAAUAGUCCCAUCAGGCUUGUACUUGAUGGUGAAUAUCCACUUGCUAGUUACUGCCUUCUUUCCUUUUGGCAGUUCACUUUCAAACCAAGUAUCAUUCUUUAUCAUAGCAUUAGCUUCAUCACCUACUGAUUCUUUCCAGUCUUCAUGUAGCAUUGCAUCUUCAUAUGAUCUAGGCACAUAGCUUCCAUCUAAGCUGAUCAUAAAUGCACAAUGCUCUUCUGGAUAGCACGCAAAAGAACACACAGCUUGAGAGGGAUGCUCCACAGCCUGGGCAUUGUAGUACACUCUCGUGUUUACCCAGUUGGAAGCAUCUCUCUUUAACCGUGUGCUUCUCCUCAAUGGAACUACUACAUUCUCUUCCACGGCUUCUUCUGGCAUCUGGCUUUCUUCACUAGCUUCCUGACCUCCAUGUUGAUCACUUCCCCUUGAGUCAUCUUCACUUUGAACAUGAGAGUCUGCGCUUUGUUGUUGAUUUUCGGCUUCACUUGUUCCUUGAACUUCAGUAUCAGCAGAUUCACUUCCCCCUUCAUGUUCUAAGUGAGAUGAUUCUUCAACUCUAACAGGUGGUGUUGCUUGGCGUUUGUGCUGAUCUGAUGACACUCCAAUACCA